This 751-nucleotide ribosomal RNA is filed under the name Leuconostoc mesenteroides. Its description in RNAcentral is "bacterial SSU rRNA". It matches the Rfam family "Bacterial small subunit ribosomal RNA", at positions 62 to 799 of the family's 1533-position model. Lineage: Bacteria; Bacillati; Bacillota; Bacilli; Lactobacillales; Lactobacillaceae. The record is from RNAcentral.
ACGCACAGCGAAAGGUGCUUGCACCUUUCAAGUGAGUGGCGAACGGGUGAGUAACACGUGGACAACCUGCCUCAAGGCUGGGGAUAACAUUUGGAAACAGAUGCUAAUACCGAAUAAAACUUAGUGUCGCAUGACAAAAAGUUAAAAGGCGCUUCGGCGUCACCUAGAGAUGGAUCCGCGGUGCAUUAGUUAGUUGGUGGGGUAAAGGCCUACCAAGACAAUGAUGCAUAGCCGAGUUGAGAGACUGAUCGGCCACAUUGGGACUGAGACACGGCCCAAACUCCUACGGGAGGCUGCAGUAGGGAAUCUUCCACAAUGGGCGAAAGCCUGAUGGAGCAACGCCGCGUGUGUGAUGAAGGCUUUCGGGUCGUAAAGCACUGUUGUAUGGGAAGAACAGCUAGAAUAGGAAAUGAUUUUAGUUUGACGGUACCAUACCAGAAAGGGACGGCUAAAUACGUGCCAGCAGCCGCGGUAAUACGUAUGUCCCGAGCGUUAUCCGGAUUUAUUGGGCGUAAAGCGAGCGCAGACGGUUUAUUAAGUCUGAUGUGAAAGCCCGGAGCUCAACUCCGGAAUGGCAUUGGAAACUGGUUAACUUGAGUGCAGUAGAGGUAAGUGGAACUCCAUGUGUAGCGGUGGAAUGCGUAGAUAUAUGGAAGAACACCAGUGGCGAAGGCGGCUUACUGGACUGCAACUGACGUUGAGGCUCGAAAGUGUGGGUAGCAAACAGGAUUAGAUACCCUGGUAGUCCACA